CCUACGGGCGGCAGCAGUGGGGAAUAUUGGACAAUGGGCGAAAGCCUGAUCCAGCCAUGCCGCGUGUGUGAAGAAGGCCUUCGGGUUGUAAAGCACUUUCAGUGGGGAAGAAAGCCUUGGGGCUAAUACCCUCGAGGAAGGACAUCACCCACAGAAGAAGCACCGGCUAACUCCGUGCCAGCAGCCGCGGUAAUACGGAGGGUGCGAGCGUUAAUCGGAAUUACUGGGCGUAAAGCGCGCGUAGGCGGUCUGAUAAGCCGGUUGUGAAAGCCCCGGGCUCAACCUGGGAACGGCAUCCGGAACUGUCAGACUAGAGUGCAGGAGAGGAAGGUAGAAUUCCCGGUGUAGCGGUGAAAUGCGUAGAGAUCGGGAGGAAUACCAGUGGCGAAGGCGGCCUUCUGGACUGACACUGACGCUGAGGUGCGAAAGCGUGGGUAGCAAACAGGAUUAGAUACCCUGGUAGUC
This 465-nucleotide ribosomal RNA is filed under the name Vreelandella stevensii. RNAcentral's name for it is "partial 16S ribosomal RNA". It matches the Rfam family "Bacterial small subunit ribosomal RNA", at positions 338 to 795 of the family's 1533-position model. The record is from RNAcentral. Lineage: Bacteria; Pseudomonadati; Pseudomonadota; Gammaproteobacteria; Oceanospirillales; Halomonadaceae.